UACGUAGGGUGCGAGCGUUAAUCGGAAUUACUGGGCGUAAAGCGUGCGCAGGCGGUGAUGUAAGACAGGGGUGAAAUCCCCGGGCUUAACCUGGGAACUGCAUUUGUGACUGCAUCGCUGGAGUGCGGCAGAGGGGGAUGGAAUUCCGCGUGUAGCAGUGAAAUGCGUAGAUAUGCGGAGGAACACCGAUGGCGAAGGCAAUCCCCUGGGGUAACACUGACGCUCAUGCACGAAAGCGUGGGGAGCAAACAGG
Molecule: ribosomal RNA, 253 nt
Filed under: uncultured bacterium
Lineage: Bacteria
Description: partial 16S ribosomal RNA
Rfam family: Bacterial small subunit ribosomal RNA
Source: RNAcentral